GGCAUGGUGGCUCAGUGGUUAGAGCGCCCCCCUCAUGAACGGGAGGUUGUGGGUUCGAAUCCCGGCCGAGUAA
This 73-nucleotide transfer RNA is filed under the name Strongylocentrotus purpuratus (purple sea urchin). It matches the Rfam family "tRNA". From Rfam's summary of the family: Transfer RNA (tRNA) molecules are approximately 80 nucleotides in length. Their secondary structure includes four short double-helical elements and three loops (D, anti-codon, and T loops). Further hydrogen bonds mediate the characteristic L-shaped molecular structure. tRNAs have two regions of fundamental functional importance: the anti-codon, which is responsible for specific mRNA codon recognition, and the 3' end, to which the tRNAs corresponding amino acid is attached (by aminoacyl-tRNA synthetases). tRNAs cope with the degeneracy of the genetic code in two manners: having more than one tRNA (with a specific anti-codon) for a particular amino acid; and 'wobble' base-pairing, i.e. permitting non-standard base-pairing at the 3rd anti-codon position. Lineage: Eukaryota; Metazoa; Echinodermata; Echinoidea; Camarodonta; Strongylocentrotidae. The record is from Rfam by way of RNAcentral.